Molecule: small nucleolar RNA, 106 nt
Organism: Otolemur garnettii (small-eared galago)
Lineage: Eukaryota; Metazoa; Chordata; Mammalia; Primates; Galagidae
Source: Ensembl
ACCCUUUUGUAGUAGUUCGUAAGCAAGAUGAUUGUGUUUUCACAAACCUGUGAGAUAUGCCUCCCUCAAACCCUGUUACAAUGUGUGCUCUCUACAUAAAAAGAGA